UGUGCCUCUGGAUUUUUUCAACGCAAAAAAUGUGCCUUGGCUCAAAAAAGGUUGAAAAACACUGCCCUAAGGAAUCAUACGUAUCUUCGGAUGGCCCCGCCCCUAAUUUAAUGUGCUUAUGCUGCCACUUUAUAUCGUCUGCGCUUUCCUCAGCAAGAGGAGGACAAAUUCCCUCUGAGAGGUUCUCCAGACUUUUCACAUGAACAACCACGGACUCUAGAAUUGAACGUGGACGGGUGUGUGUAUAGCUGAAGGUUGCAAAAGCAGUGUGUUGUUAAAUGUAAAUAUGGUAAUUUAUUCCCUGCUUCGCCGUAUUCAAGAGGUUCCCCCUCUCUUAAAAAUGGAAUGAAGUUUUAUUUUUAUCAAAGUUGAACGGAAAUGUUUUGCACUGCAUUUUUUCACUACUAUGGUGGGAUUGUUUUGUUCUCACGGAAUGAGUUUCCUCUUGAGAUAAUAGUUUUUAUGUGUCUGGAAGUGUCGACGGAGCGGGGAGUUUUCUAUGGGUUACUUUACGACGUUUGCAGCCUGUCAGUCAGUCCUAUUGUAUUUUCACUUCCCCGAGUUCUCCGUGAGCACAAGUGUCUGCACUGCCAUGGCCAAGCAACAGCACCAAAUUUCUGAGGUCUUACAUUUGACAAGCAAACAUCCCCAUUCUGCUUGUAAACCUUUUGCGAGCAGCUAUUGUCCACUUUGUAUUUGUCCGGUGAAGUGAGGCCAGAGUACGCAAUCAUGCCGUCUACCACUUCUUAUUCAAUGUAUGAGAUUUUAAUGCCUUAUGCAAUUGGUCAUUUACUGAAUGACAAAUGCCAUUUACCUGUCAAUUAUCAGUACGAGCGCACAGAAUAAAAUGCAUUUAAGUGGC
Nerophis lumbriciformis (worm pipefish) is the source of this 862-nucleotide long non-coding RNA. RefSeq lists it as uncharacterized. Lineage: Eukaryota; Metazoa; Chordata; Actinopteri; Syngnathiformes; Syngnathidae. The record is from RefSeq and is a predicted model, not a curated record.